UUAGYUAGUUGGUGAGGUAAAGGCUCMCCCAAGGGCGACGAUCAGUAGYUGGUCUGAGAGGACGMCCAGCCMCCACUGGAACUGAGACACGGUCCAGACUCCUACGGGARGCAGCAGUGGGGAAUUUUGGACAAUGGGCGCAAGCCUGAUCCCAGCAAUGCCGCGUGAGUGAAGAAGGCCUUCGGGUUGUAAAGCUCUUUUGUCAGGGAAGAAACGGUAGAGGCUAAUAUCCUUUGCUAAUGACGGUACCUGAAGAAUAAGCACCGGCUAAYUACGUGCCAGCAGCCGCGGUAAUACGUAGGGUGCAAGCGUUAAUCGGAAUUACUGGGCGUAAAGCGUGCGCAGGCGGUUUUGUAAGUCUGACGUGAAAGCCCCGGGCUCAACCUGGGAAUUGCGUUGGAGACUGCAAGGCUUGAAUCUGGCAGAGGGGGGGUAGAAUUCCACGUGUAGCAGUGAAAUGCGUAGAGAUGUGGAGGAACACCGAUGGCGAAGGCAGCCCCCUGGGUCAAGAUUGACGCUCAUGCACGAAAGCGUGGGGAGCAAACAGGAUUAGAUACCCUGGUAGUCCACGCCCUAAACGAUGUCUACUAGUUUGUCGGGGUUUUAAUUAACUUUGGUAACGCAGCUAACGCGUGAAGUAGACCGCCUGGGGGAGUACGGUCGCAAGAUUAAAACUCAAAGGGAAUUGACGGGGACCCGCACAAGCGGKGGAKGGAKGKGGGAUUAAUUUCGAUGCAACGCGAAAAAACCUUACCUACCCUUGACAUGUCAGGAAYCUUCGAGAGAWUCGGGGGAGUGGCCCCRAAAGGGARCCUGAACACAGGUGCUGGCAUGGCUGUCGKCAGCUCSUGKCGKGGAGAWGGGUUGGGGGUUAARUUCCCCSCAACGAGCGGCAACCCUUUGUCWUUARUUUGCUACGCCAARAGMACUCUWAUUGGRGAMUGSCGGGU
Molecule: ribosomal RNA, 950 nt
Filed under: Massilia haematophila
Lineage: Bacteria; Pseudomonadati; Pseudomonadota; Betaproteobacteria; Burkholderiales; Oxalobacteraceae
Description: partial 16S ribosomal RNA
Rfam family: Bacterial small subunit ribosomal RNA
Source: RNAcentral